GGGUGAGUAAUACAUCGGAACAUGUCCAGGAGUGGGGGAAGGGGGGGCGAAAGCCGGAGUAAUACCGCAUACGAUCCAUGGAGGAAAGCGGGGGACCUUUGGGCCUCGCGCUAUUGGGGUGGCCGAUGGCAGAUUAGCUUGUUGGUGGGGUAAAGGCUCACCAAGGCGACGAUCCGUAGCUGGUCUGAGAGGACGACCAGCCACACUGGGACUGAGACACGGCCCAGACUCCUACGGGAGGCAGCAGUGGGGAAUUUUGGACAAUGGGGGCAACCCUGAUCCAGCAAUGCCGCGUGUGUGAAGAAGGCCUUCGGGUUGUAAAGCACUUUUGUCCGGAAAGAAAACCUUUGGGCUAAUACCCCGGGGGGAUGACGGUACCGGGAAGAAUAAGCACCGGCUAACUACGUGCCAGCAGCCGCGGUAAUACGUAGGGUACAAGCGUUAAUCGGAAUUACUGGGCGUAAAGCGUGCGCAAGCGGUGAUGUAAGACUCGAUGUGAAAUCCCCGGGCUUAAACCUGGGAAACUGCAUUGGUGACUGC
This 540-nucleotide ribosomal RNA is filed under the name Paraburkholderia sp. Its description in RNAcentral is "bacterial SSU rRNA". It matches the Rfam family "Bacterial small subunit ribosomal RNA", at positions 104 to 636 of the family's 1533-position model. Lineage: Bacteria; Pseudomonadati; Pseudomonadota; Betaproteobacteria; Burkholderiales; Burkholderiaceae. The record is from RNAcentral.